UGUAUUUCAAAAUAAAAAGGCAGAGAGAAUGGGAGGAGAGAACUGCAGACAGAAAGCGUACACAACACUUUAGAGGAAUGUUGUUACAAAGAGGACCAAAGAAAGAGGGUAGCAGCUGGAAGAGAAACGAGAUCAAGAUUUUUUUUUUUAUUAAGAGGGGAGAAACAACAGUAGGUUUUACACGGAAAGAGAUCAUCUACUGGAGAGGAAAAACUUACAAGACAAAAGAGAGGAAGCACUAGUUCCUCCAGGACUCUCGCCCCGCCCCGCCCCGCCGUGCAGGCGCUCAGAACCGGGUGUCCGGAUUCAAGCGGGAACGGCCUGAGCGAGUGGCGCGUCCAGCUGUGGCCGCCAGGGAGCGCCAGCCGCCGGCGGAGGCCAGGCACUGGCUGGCGGGAUCCGGGACAUCCGGGACCCGUCUCUGAAGCCCGCGGCCCGAACCGCUGUGGCGGGAUCGCGGCUGAAGUUCCCCAGCGCUGCUGGCCUCGGGUAUCGCCGUUUUACCCACCCUGAAGUCCCGACCACGUCCCCUUUGCCCUUUCCCACGACGGAGAGCUGCUUCUCCUUGGACCCCUGGAGGCAAAAGGGAGUCCCUGCCGCUUCGCUCCUUGGCCUGUCGGAUGCACAGAGCGGGCGCCCUGCCCCCAAGGGACUCGCCCGCUGUCCCCGGGCCCUAGCCCCCUGCCCCCCACCCUGGGGGAGGACAGCUACCUACGGUCGUUGCGUCAGAGGGGUGACCCUGUGAACUUUAGGGCCUCUCGCUAGAGCAGGGCGGAAACACAGCCACCCCCCGGAUAAAUAUAAUCCUCUUUAGGACGCGCCGCCACACUCUCCAUGGAACCGUCAGGGGCCUCGCUUUGGGGCCAGAACAGGGUGGCCAGAUUUAGCACACACACAAAAGGAUGCUCAGGUGGCAACGGGACUCUGAGCAGAGCAUCCUCUACAGAUUUGUCCAACAUGUGUGGCACCCAAGUUCAACAGGGAGCUGGGAAUUGGUCCAGGAAAGAAAAACAAGGGCAGGCAUUCGGAGGACUUGAGGUAAAAAUUUAAUAACGUGCAGUAAAUGUUCAUAGUAAUUUGGGUCUCAUAAAAGCCUGCCUCCUCACACUGUAUCCUCUUACUCGGACAAUAAAACUCUAAUGCAACUCCGUGUUCUGUCACACACAGUUGAAAUCUGAGGAUUCAGAAUAAUGCCUUGCCUAUUUCUUUCUAAGGGAGUAUGGUCACUAAAGAGUUUCAGACUCAGACUUUGGUCACCUUAUCGUCCCAUAAGAUUUUAAUAUUCUAAUUACUAACAGGAAAUCAUGCAAGCAAGGAAGAAAAUCCCAGUUCCUCCAUUAAUUCAUAGAGACAAAAAGAAUCCAAUCAAUCAUUCUGUAAUUUCCGGAGAACCAUCACCUUUCUAGUAGCUGCUAAGUCCAAUAUGAAAACAGGCUAAUAGCACAUGCAAUCUCCCACCAUUUCUGGUCCCCCUGGGGAUAGUCAGGGCUAUCAUGUCGCAUUAGGACAGAUUUUUUGACCCCAAGCCUAAUUUCAGAUUUUUUUUGUGUGUGCAUGCUGAAGUGUGAUCCUUUAUGUCACUAAGUUGGGGAUAUGAAUUUUUAAUCUCCCUAAAAUAUAUAGUGUGUUGGAGGUGCAAAAUUUGGCUUGUGAACAAAUGGGAUGGAGAAUUGACUGCAGGGAGGGCGUCCCCUUGCUGUCACUGCGAGUGCUGUUUGGGACUCCAGAGGGAGCUAUUUGGAAAAUGAAUUGGAUUCUGUCCUUAAAAAUAAAGUUAUUUGGUAAAUUGAGGAAGCCUUGAUCCAGGUGAGUGCCCAGGAGCAGCUGGGGCUUAACACCCUUCUGCACACGUUUAAGGACAUUGGAGGCUUAUGAGUGCUAAUUAGGACCCGUAAGUCAUUUAAAUCAUGAGUCUCUUGAUCCAUUGUGAGCACAUUAAUAAUUUUUCUCAAUACUUUCAAGGUAAAAAGAGAUUAUGGAGAGAAGACUGUUUAAUUUGAUCACUUGUGUAUGUGGGCACCAACACCCUUUUCCUGCCUCACCUCCUUGGCACCGUCCUUGGAUGACACAUAUCCCCGUGCUUUGGGGAGUCAGCCCUGCUCCAGGAGACCCACUCACCCUCUCAGAGCCACUAUGUGCUUUCUUUCUCUCAGUCUCUUCAUUUCCUUUUCUCCUCCAUACACAUUCACAUCUGUUUCCCAUCAUUUAACUGUUCUUUGUCAUGGGGUACAUUUUAUUUUCCAGUUUUCCUGUCUACCAUCUCACGUGUAGGCUUUUCUUUAACAAACACAUUCUCAUUUCCUUAUACUGUGUCCUGGAUUGUUUCCGCUACUCAGUUCGCUAUUGUUAUAAUUUUUCUUUGUCUUCUUUUUUUCUGUUGCUUUGGUUUUUCUCUGUCUGUUGUAGGGGUAGGGAAACCAGAGUGCAGGUGCUGAAGCUGGUCAGCUGGACAUCGCCAGCAGCCCUGGUUCCAUACCCUCCAGCCUCUUCGCUAGUGGCCCCUCUGAUUCUUGUGAGAGCAGUUGUGGUAAAUCCCUUUCCCUCCCCCUCCAGCCUCUGUUUCGGGAAGUUUAGGUGGGUCAUUCGCAACUGGCAACGUGUUCAGUCUCCUUCCCCGAGGUUGAAUGUGCCUGUGGGUGUUGGGCUCUUCUGCAACUCCCCUUUGUAGGGCCUGUGGGAGGACAGCUCAGAAGUCACUAGCAGGGUCGGCGGGAAGAGCAGGCAGGUUGAUGAAGAAACUGGUAACAGAAGUAUAUGGUGUGUGGGGAGUCAUUUUCCUGGAUUACUUUGAGUAAGAGUCUUCUCUACUAUCUUGUGCUCAAAGACAUGUUAUUAAAAGUUUCAAGAUUGCUGCAGUACAGGUGCUCUAAGUUUGGUGAAGUCUAGAUUUUUUUUUCUUUUUGCCUUGAUGACCUUCUAAAGGGGCACUGGAAUGUUGUUCCUGACUACUCUUUGAGAGUCUCCUGCCUUCCCCAGGGAACGUAACGUACCUUUUUUCUCUGGCUGCCUUCAAGAUUUGCUUUUCAUCUUUUAUUUUCUGCAGUUUGAAAACGAUAUACCAAGGUAUGAUGUUUUUGUUUGUUUGCUGCUUGAUGUUUCUGAGCUUUUGGGUUUGUUUGCUGUCUGUCAGGAAGUUUGGAAAAUUCUCAGCCAUUAGUUCUUUCAAUACAUCUUCUGCCUCACUCUCUCCCUCUUCUUCUUCUGGUAUUCCCAUUGCAUAUAUAUCAGGCCACAUGAUAUUGUCUCACUUUAAAUAUAAAAACAUAGAUACAUUAUGAGGAAAUGAUGAAAAGUGAAUGUCAUACAAACAGUGAAGAAAGCUAGAAUAGCUAUAUUAUAUUAGUACCUGAAGAAGUAGACUUCACCCUUAGGAGUGUUCCCAGGGAUAAAUGGUGCUGACACAUAAUGAUAAAGGGUUCAAUCCUCCAAGAAGACACAGCGAUACGAAAUGUGUGCCUAUUAACAGCAGUACUCAAAGAGACGCAGAGAAAAGCUGCUAGAACUGGAAGGAGAAAGAGAAAAAGCCACAGUUACAGAUGGAGACUUCAAUCAUUGAUAGAAAAAGUGGACAGGAAAUCAGUAGGCACAGAAGAUCUGAAUAAUAUCAUUAACCAACUUGGCCUAAUUUACGAUUAUAGAAUAUUCCACUCAGCAGCAAAAAACAGUCUUUUCAACUGCACACAGAAUAUUCUCCAGAACAGACCUUAUAUUGACUCAUAAAGAAAACCUUAACACACUUCUUUUUAGUUGAUCUUUUUGUUUGUUUGUUUUAGUCUCUUUUGUGGGGGAUAAUUAGGUUUAUUUAUUUUUUAAUAGAGGUACUGGGGAUUGAACCCAGGACCUUGUGUAUGCUAAGUAUGGGCUCUACCGAAGAGCUAUACCCUCCCUCUCCUUAACAUAGUUUUUAAAAUGGAAACCUCUUCUUGGCUCUUGGAAUUUUGGCCCCUGUGUGAGAGUGGUGGUGCUGCCUGGAGAAUGUGCAGAGUGCCCCUGCUGGGCCAGUGGGGUGGAGGGCAGGUGGAAAGGUUUAAAAAAAAGGAAAUCUCACAAAGUAUCUUCUUGGAGCAUAAUGGAAUUAAACUAGAAUUCUGUAACAUUAAGAUAUCUGGAAAAUCACCAAAUAUUGGCAGUUAAUACACUUCUAUGUAACCCAUGGGCCUCAAGGUAAACUUGAAAAUCCUUUGAACCAACCAAAUAAAAAUGAAAAUGCAUUAUAUCUAAUUUGUGGAUUGCAGCUAAAGAAGUGCUUAGAGGAAAUUUUAUAGCAUUCAAAUGCUUAUAUUAGAGAAGAAGCAGUGUCUCCAACCAGUAAUCUAAGGUUCUACCCUAAGAAACAAGAAAAAGAAGAGCAAUUAAACCUAGAACAGGCAGAGCAAAGGAAAUAAUAAAGAGCUUAUAUCAAUGAAAUUGAAAAAAAAAAGA
Vicugna pacos (alpaca) is the source of this 4422-nucleotide non-coding RNA. The record is from RefSeq and is a predicted model, not a curated record. NCBI's taxonomy places the organism in Eukaryota, Metazoa, Chordata, Mammalia, Artiodactyla, Camelidae.